This is an RNA transcript of Pezoporus flaviventris, 4134 nucleotides long. RefSeq lists it as uncharacterized. The record is from RefSeq and is a predicted model, not a curated record. NCBI's taxonomy places the organism in Eukaryota, Metazoa, Chordata, Aves, Psittaciformes, Psittacidae. The transcript has 5 exons.
CAUAAAUGAAGGCUCAGCUUUUCCUUGAGCGUGGAAUGUGUUUGCUGGUGUUGCAGGGUCCAUGGGUACAGCUCCUCCUGCAAGUGAGUGUAGCUGCUUUGGAGCUGGUCCUCGGUGCUGGAGUGGUGUAGCCCAGGGCAGUGAUGGUGGCUGGCCCCAUCCCACACCAGACGACUGCGGGCAGGUAGCAGAGACCUGUGUGUAAAGCGGAGCUCACAGCUCUAGUGCGCAGGGCUUGUGCCCACCCUUGCAGCAUCUCCUGGCUCCUGCUCAUCUUCUUUGCUCUUCCCCAGGCAGCCUCCGCCUCUGCACCCCCCUGAAACCUGUAACAAGCUGCACAAACUGCCAAGAGAGAGGAGACCUCUGUGGGAUUGGCAGGUUUCACUGAUCUGCUUAAAAUUCAAGUGCAGAUGGGAAUACAGGAGCCCUGGGAAGGUGGUGAUGGGAGCUGCAAUGUUGUCUCCAAGCAGCAUAUACCAUAGAUUAGUACAGACCAAAUGAUAAAUUUUGGGCAUCUGAUUUCAUGAGGUCAGGUAAGGAAUCCAUCUAAAUGAGUGGUUUCAUCCUCCUGGAUGAAGUACAAUGUGGCAUACAGUGCAAUACCUGCUGUUUCACAGUGAGUUUAAUCAGACCUUGCCUUGGUGCCGCAGGGCAUCAAGUGGGAGCUCUCAAGGGUUUGUUCUGCAGGAUACGGGUGCCUUGGCCCUCUUCUUAUCCCUGUGCUGGGAGUGGGGAAAGGACUUGUCCCCACUGUGCAGAUGUGGCUGCCAGCCUGGGAUCCAUCCUACAGGUGUCCGUCUGUCCAUCCCACAUGGUGCACCAGAGAUAUGUCUGUCCUGCUUUUUGUGCCUUGGGGCCUGGAUGUGAACACUGCCACCAUCUCAAUACAGGGCACUGCUGGCUGCAGGUGGCUUCAGCAUCUUGUUCCAGACUUGUGUUAUCCUCCUGCUGUAGGUGCCCUGUGCCGCCUCCUCUUCCCACCUUCCUUGAAAGGAGACCACUGCUGGGUUUUGUGCUACAAGUCGCUCUGGGUUUGAGGAAGGCUUUUGGCAGUCCUGAAAGAUUCCAGGCUCUGGAGAUCAAAGGGAGUGCUGACAAGCUUGUGUUGCUCCAUGAAGGCAGAGGUAAGCUUCAGGUCUGAAUUUAAAACACCACUGAAACUAAACUGGAAAGACAACGCUGAGGACUGGUGGGUUUCCCCAUGUCAGAAUUUCCCAUAGUGCCUCUGGUGCUCUGGGUGUGGAUGAUGUCUUCUUGUAUUAAUUUUUAUUGUAGGCAGUAAUUUGUGAAUAAUUUCCUAGGUAAAACAAAGGUUGAACUUUUGAAGCAAAUGUACUCGACAUGACCUUUAUAUCUCUUAGUCACUGUCAGGCUUCACUGAGUGCCCUGCACCUUGACAUUCAGUAAAGCAAUAAAGAAACAAAAUGUACUAAUGUAACCUUUAUAAAAAUAUUUAGAAUGAUAGUUUAAUCUCCCACUAUGGUGUUAAAAUAAGCUCAAUAAACUUCGGCAGUAAAUUACAUUCAGAAGAAACUCAGUUUAAAUGACAUUAUGGUUACAAUAGCCAGAAAAUUUUGUCCUGAACUGCUUCAAGAAAAAAAAAACAACCCAUGUUUAGCAUGGGGCUGUUGACCUUUCCAGUUUUGGGAUAAUAAUUGGACAGCUAUUCAAUUUUUGGUAGCUAAUCUGGAACCUUAGAUUCUUUCUUCUCUCAUAUCUUGCCCAAGGAAUCAAGAAGAUGGACAUCUCUCAGCAGCCAGAGCAGAUGAGUAUUACAUAUUUGAGCCACAGCACUGUGUUUAAUUUCACUUUUAUAAAAGAUCCGAACCAAAAUGUAUUAAAAAACUGUUAGAGGGGAAGAUGAAGAAAUGAAACGAAAGAGUGGUUUAAGAUAGCUUAUAAAGUUGUUUGAUAGCAAAAAUAGUUUCUUGGUCUUCAUAUAAAGAGAUGUGGUUUGCUGGGGCAUUAUUACAGAUCAGGUUGUAAAACCAGGCUGAGGUUGUGGCUCUGGAAUACCUACUCCAAACUGAAAAAGCCAUAGGUUUGUAUAUACAAAUGCACAGUAGAAAUGAGUGCUGUGUGAUGACUGAAAUCUGCAUAUGAGAUACAGGUUAUUUAGAAAUGUAUAUACAAGACUAUGUAUUGCAGCUUACAUGGAGGGAUCUUAAAUUAUUUCACAAACAUAUAUUUCUCAGCAUUAUUUUACCCAAAGUGGGUUCCUUCUUUAGUUUGUGGUGAUACAGCAGUCUUCAUCCAUUGACCUGGAUGCAGUUUUCAUCUCUGUUUUCUCUAACUGAACAAAACAGAUUUGGUCAGGUGAGGGAAAUACCCCCAGCAUUGGCUUGGCUGGUUGUUUUAAUCCAUGAGAGGUAUUGACAUUCUACUUGUUCUCUUGCAAAAUAAAAUCCUUCUCCCAUAGAGCCAGCCUUUGAUUGCCUGUAGUGCUUAGAUAGAGCUUGGAGAGGAACCAUAAAAGUACUUUGAUAAAUAGGCAGAACUAAAGAAAACAACGGUGCCUCAGCUCUUCUCGACCUCUCCUGCAUCUAUGCCUGCUAAGCCCAACUGCAGUAUAUCAAGGUGGAAGGGGACAUGUUGCCUGUCAUGGGGGAAGUGCCAGGGAAGCUAAAUACAGUGAGAAAAUACAGUAAUACCACCAUCUCAGCUAGACCAGGAGCUAUUACUGGAGGACUGACUUUAUUUCUUUUAGCUGUCUGGAGGUUUCUGUUUCUGUGAAGCUGAGGAGAGCACAGUGAAGGUGUGGGAGGUAAUGUUCUGUGAGAGGAAGAGAGAGGAAAAGCAGAGUUUGUGCUAACAGGGAGAAUAAGCUGAAGGGCCAGAAAAAAAUCUUGCCUCUGGGCAGUAAAAAGGUGGAUGCACAUUAUAUACUAGUGGGUACUAUUUUCUGGAGAAAUGUUGAUACCUACUAGCAAGUGAUCUGGUUUGUAGUACUAAAGUCUCAUGUUGUUCCUGAUGCUGCUCUAGGCUUAGGCAAUUUCAUGUUUUCUCUAUAAAGAAAUAAUCUUCUGAAUGAGUUUUACUGUAUAAAUUUCAGUGAAUGUAAUUUAAAAAGGAUUCAGUAAGACAGCUCUUUACUCCUUGUAGGAAACUGAGAAGUAAGAAGUCAAAAAUUAGUGAUCUGGUUUCAUGUUAUUAGAUUUCCCCUGAUCAAGGCAGCAGUGAAUAUACUGUAUUAAUAGAGCACCAACUAUGUAGAACAAAUGGAUUAUGAUGUCUUUUUUUAUGAUGGUACUAUAAAUACUUUGCCCCUACAUACCUUUGCCAUUGGAAGUGAAGAAUGACAUUUAAAGAAAGCACAUAAUCUUAUCUCCAUAAACGUUCCUUUCACCUUCUUGUAACUAAUUAGGAACAUGGAGACUUCUGUUAAGCAUCAGACCUUUCUUCUUGAAGAUUAAGGUAGAUGAGUGUGUUACAGAUGCUGAAUCAGAAGGGGUUUCAUGCCUAUGAUUUAUUACUACUACUUUGACCUUAGUCAAAUUGGGGGCAUUUAUACCCUCUUACAAAAGACAUGACUUGUUUGAAGGGGCACAGCUGACAAGAAAGGAGUGGGCUAAAAAUGUGAUACUUCAUGAAAUUAUUUGACCUCAAAUGCCUGGAAGUUAAGAGGAACAUUUCCACUGUCUUGUAAUCUGGACAUGGCUCAGCCAAGGGAAAAGCACACAUUUUGUGGGUUUUCUUUUCUUUUCCUUCUGUUGAAUGAAACAUGCUGUCUAGAAUGAUCUCAUUUCUUGUACUUUAAUUUGCUUCUCCCUUUUUCACUCAGUAAUUUCUCAGUUGAUGUUCAGUUAUCACAAAGAAGCUAAGUUUACAUCUCUGAAAUUUUUUAAAGACUGAGGAGAUCUUUGAAAAGUUAUGAAAAGGAAUUAUGAUGCCCUGAAGUCUGCCAGGAUUAUCCUACUGUCUCUAAGAACUAAUGAGUGAAAAUAUUGUGGGAAGAACAGUAAAGCAAAAGUUUGAACAACACAAAAAGGCAAAUUUAUGAUUGGAAUCUGAAAAUGCUAAAAACUCAAGCUGGAAACAGGAAUGUGCACACAGCACAUUUUUAUUUUACCAUGAGCAAUGCUUGAUUUCAGAUGAAGCAGUUUGUGCAUCACCACAAAUUGAUGGUGUAUGAUG